RNAcentral lists this long non-coding RNA (796 nucleotides) under Ananas comosus (pineapple). RNAcentral's name for it is "long non-coding RNA (ACOM_LNC040261)". Lineage: Eukaryota; Viridiplantae; Streptophyta; Magnoliopsida; Poales; Bromeliaceae. The record is from RNAcentral.
UGGACAAAAAAAUUUUAUGGCUUAUGUAAAGAGGCAACUGAUAUUUUGAGUCCGACUGGGAUACUAUCGAUAGCACCAUGUAUUUGGUGCUAUCAAGUUUUCUAUCGUUAGAUUUAAUAUUUUGAUUAUUUUCACCCGUUAGAUUAUACUAUUAAACCAACAACUCACUCAAUCUUAGGGGACCCACAUCAUCCUAACCGUAUAUUUUUUUAAUCAAAGGGCCGAAAACCUAAUAGCACCAAAUGCUUGGUGCUAUUGAUAGUAUUUCAGCCUAGGUGCGAUAUUUCAAUUUUAGCAACUAAAUCUUCUAAGCUUUAUAAAAUAGUUCAAUAAGCCCAUCUUUUUAAUUAAAGCUACUAAUUAUAUAACCGUUUUGACCAUAUGCCUUUAAUUUUUUUAUUCUAACCUAUUUUUCUACUAUUGUACUUAAUUCAGAAAUGGGAGAAAAAAAAUAAUAUUUAUUUAGUUUAUAUGUAUAAUAUCCAAUCAAAAUGGUUGUAUAAUUUAUAAGUUUGUUUGAGGAGAAUAACCCAUUAAAUCAUUUGAUAAAGUUUUGAAGAUUUAAUAAUAAAAUUAAAAGUUCAGAUGAAACUCUAGAUAGUUCUAUACAUAAGAUAUAAUAGGGCUAAAACUUUUAAUUCGGUUUAAGCAUUUUGGAUGGUGGUUAGGCUCAAGAGAUUAAGAGAGUUAAGCGUGCUAGGACGAAAGUAGUUUUAGGAUGGGUGACCCCCUGGAAAGUUGGGGCAUCACAGCAGAUUUAGAGUAGAGCUAAGAUUCAGGGGUACGUGUAACGUUA